GGAGGACGACUCCGUGCAGGGCGAAAGGGGCGGGGGGGGGGGGGGGGGAGGUUGCAAAGGAACACCGGAGAGCGCCAGGCAUACAGCAAGCGCUCAAUAAAUGGCCGACUGGCAACUGCCCGUCGUCACUGAGCCCAGGACCCUUUACGUCGGCCCGUCAGUCGCCCACUGCCCCUCUCCGCCGCGACGCGGCAAAUAAAGCAAACGUUAAUGGUUAAGCAGCAGGUCAAUCGCGCUCCCCCCAGCGCGGGAGCGGACAAAGACCCGAGGCCACGCCCAGCGCGCCCACCGUGGGGCGGGGUAGUGGAUCCUGAGAAUCCCCCCACGCCCCCGUUGGCUAUUCCAGUGAAGGACGGGGCCAUCAGCCAACCGCAGCCCAGGCACGACGCAUGCGUCCACAGAAGCUUUAGCCCUAGAUGGGAAAAAAAGCCGCGGGCGCACCGCUGUGGCUGCGUCUGGCCAGGACCUGGGGAAGCGGGUGCGCAUGCGUGAGCCCGACACCACCCUCUCCCUGCGAGACGCGAGCGUACGCAACGUGGCCGGCCGGGGUCUCCGGGGGCGCGCCCCGCAGGGAGGGACCUCGGCCCCACGCGUGCGCGCGGGCCGCGAUCUCGCGCGAGGCCGUCGGUGGACGACGCCCCGCUGGCCCCGCGCGCCCGGCCGCCGGCGGGGGCCCCCUCCUGGCAGCCGAGGGCCCCCCGAUCUCUGGGGACCACAGCCCCUGACCGCGCACACCCAGGAGGCCGCGACCCCCACCCGCGCAGGCCAAGACCCUCAAUCCUGGAGGCCGAGACCCCGGCCCUUGAGAGGACUGCCCCCGCCCCGUGGGGCGUUGCUGCACUGGACAGACCGACAGAGAAGCCCCGGAGCACGACAGACAUUCGGAGCCAUGUUCAUAAACUGCAAAAUACGCACAAUGAAGCAGUAUAGUGUCUAUAGCAUUUCUGCACAUGUUGUCAGUUGAGUCUCACGCCAGCCCUUCAAGGUAUUGUCUCCAUGUGCAAGAUGAAGAAAGGAGACCAAAAAUUCAUGAGGCCGGUGGCACAAAGACAGGAAAGGUGAGCGUGCAGAAGGUCAGCGGGGAGCCCUGGGCAGUUAAAUCUCCAGGGUGCCGAGCACUGUGCCUGGAACAGAGAACGUGGUCGGCAAGCACUCGUUCAGCGGGUGAGUGACGGAACUUUCUGACCGUGUGGGUGUCCAGGAGUGACAGGAGCUGCCCCGAAGGCAGGUGCCCUGCUCAGCGGCUGGCUGACCACCGUGGGGACCAGGAGGACGAGAGAGGCCACUUUGGGCAAACUUCGGAGAGAAGCCCCCUCUGUGACUGUUUACGUGAGUCUGUAUAUCCGAGGCUGAAGACAAGACCAUGUUACGAUAAUAAGGUUCUCGCCUGCAGUGGGGCAGCAGUCCCCAGAGAAGGGCCGGGACAAAAGAGACGUUUUGAAGGGAAAGUUCAUAGGACUCGUUGCCGGAAUGGGUAUGAGGUGUGUUGUUGUUGUGUGUGUUGUUGUGUGUUGUCUGUGGCUCCCGGAUGCUGUGCCGCUGACUUCACAAGGGCGUAGAGGAACGUAGAUUCGUGCCUAGCAGGUGGUUUGCGAUGCAGGAUAGCGCUCAGGACGGGUAAGGGCUGACGACACGCCGACACGCCAGGGAAACAGCACCUCAGUUUGAGUUAGGAGACCCGAUUCCUAGGCCUGUCACCCGGGACACGUCACUUCAUCUGAGUGUUUGGUACAGAACGCAUACGCGCAACAAGAACCGAAAAGAAGAAUGUGCCUGAACCCCUUGUCCACAUCUAGUUAAAUCGACUCCUGUAGUUAAAUAUGCAGAUACCCGCCCCUGGAACUGUGCUUGCCUCCGUUGUCCCAUGAUGUUACGUCCUUCAUUCUGGGACUGCCACAUUUGUGCUGGAAGUGCUGUCUUACCCGAGUUUCUGUCCCCCCCCCCCGCCCCCCGCCGUGCCUGGCACAGAGCCGGAGCUCGGUAGAUGUGUGUUGCCCCGCACAGAAUUGUGUGAACUAGAAAGAACAUUCAUUUCCCCAAGACCUAGGUUUCCUUAUUUGUAAAUGCGACUAGUUGACCUUUAAAAUUCUUUUGAGUUCUGGACUUCUGUUAUCCAACCAUGUUCUACUGAUUGAGAAGACUGAACUAGCUGAUUGCUGAAUUCCUUUCCAGCUCCAGUGUUCCGUUGUGAUACUGAGUGGCCGGCAAUCUCACAGAAGCCGCGGUUGGGCGGGUCCUCAAAGGGAAAGCGUGGAGAAGGUUGAGGACAGAGACAGCACCCAGUUGUCCCAAACCAGAGUGGCACAGAAUGACCAGGCUGGGAAGCAGGAAGAAUACGAAUGGCAGAGUGUCAAACUGAGACGCCCAGAGGAGCCAGGCGGAGGAUGUGAAUGUGGGACGUGGCCCCGCCGUGUGAGGGAGGCCAUGCCCACCCAAGGAAGUCCGCGGUCUCUUCCAGUUUUUGAGAUGAAGCUGGACUCCCAGCGUUUUAUUUGAAAUCCUGUGAUUUUUAAGUACUGACAACCAAUUCAGAUUAUUUUUAAAACUCCGUGCAGGUUAAAAAACAACAACAAACGAACAAAAAAGCCCUCCACGCCUCUUGGCCUGCUGGCCUCUACCCUCGCUGGCAUGGUGCCCUCAAUCCGCGCAUGCCCCAGCACGAUGUUGCUGGAAGUUUCCCGUUUCUGUUCACGCCGGUUCUCCGAUAGGCCAACCCUUCCCGAUACUCCCAGGACUUUGCUCAUUUAUCCCCUCCCUGCCUUCUGUUUUCAGCGUCUCCCUUUAUGCUUGUGUCUCCUUCAGUCUCGAAACAUGCCAGCGUCUUUCCACAUCCUGAAGACGCUGCUUCGUUCUCCUACGGUCCCUUCCAGGGCCUUUCUAGAAAGUUCUUUCUUUUUCCCUUCCACAGAUUUCCUAGCAGAAUCCACUGCAUUCUCCCUGUCUUCCUGUUGUGAGCCGGCUUUGCUGCUCAGCUCGCUGUAGUUUAAGGUCUGCCUCCGUGAUUCCACUGAAGGUUUUCUGACCAGGGCAGAGGUCUCUGUUGCUGAAUUCAUGAGACUGCUCCAACUAGGCUAAACUCACACUCAGAGACCCAAGUGGUGUCCUUUGCUUUAAUCUAUUACCUGAGAAAUGUCGCAUCGGUGUUUAUGGAACCAAACGGGAAAGUGUCCUCGAGAAAGGACAGUCGGCACCAUGGGAUUUGCAGACAGAUCAAAGUCUGUGUCGGCCACACGAAGCCCACUGGGUUGUAAGAAAAGGAGAUUGCCACUAGCUUUUGAGAGGACAGUUCCGGCAGAGGCAGCUGGAAGGUACGCUGCUGUAGUCUGUGAAGAAAAGGGUGGUGACGUGAUGACAGACGGUGCCCAGAGGUGGCGCCUCGGACAAGUUUGGCACCACGGGAAGCGACAUCAAGCAGGAGGUAUUGGAGACACGCGUGCCCGUCAGAGUCCCUGAGGUUGAGGAAAUCCUGGCAUGUCUGCAGGUAAAGCGGGCAAGCCAGUGGCACGGGAGAUACUGGAAAUGCUGGGGAAGGACUACCUGAGAGCCGGCUGCCAGGGGCGUCGGGAAGAAUCGAGAAGUCAGCCAGUUGAAAGGACUGGGCCGCCUUGACGAGGAAGCGAGGAGUCUCUGAAGUAGGCAGAACGGUUAAAGGCAUGAGUUGUCAUUCUAUCCGGACUCUCGUGGGGGCAGCGGUGACGCAGGAGAGCCCCGGUGUGCGUUUCAUCCGUGAUACGGGAGCGACGCCCCGUCUCCAGUCACAGGGAGGCAGAGCAGAUCCGGGAUUGUUGGCCGCCUUAGCGACAUCACUCUGCACUGGCUGUGUCCCUUCCGCUCCCUCUGCACUGGUUCCGGGGGGCUCUGGCCUUGGCUGCCCCCCUCUCCUCGUCAGGGAAGUGUCGUCCCCACACCUGAGGUUUAAGCAGCCACCUCAAUGCUAGGGACUCCAAUCUGCGUCUGUGACCUAGAUCUCUCUCCUGAGCCUCCCGUCUAUGCGCCCAGUAUCUUUAUGACUAGAACUGGUCAUUUCUCCUUAAUUCUUUAUCCUAAUGUUUUAUUUUAUUUAAACAAUGUUUUUUGAUGUUUAUUUUUGAGACAGGAGCCACAGAACACGAGCAGGGGAGGGGCAGAGAGAGAGAGGGAGACACAGAAUCGGAAGCAGGAUCCAGGCUCCGAGCCGUUAGUGCAGAGCCCGACGCGGGGCUGAAACUCACAAGCCGUGAGACCAUGACCUGAGCCGAAGUCGGCCGCUCGUCCGACUGAGCCGCCCAGGCGCCCCAGUGCCAUAUCCUAGCUAAUGGCCGCAGUCAUUUUGCAGUUGUCAAGCCAGAUCUGGGUUUCACCUCCCUCCCCCCUCCCCCCGCAAGUGUAUAUGUGUAUAGUAGAUACUUAAAAGAACAGGAACAUAUUUAUGUUUCGUGUGCUGGGUUUUCUUUUUCACUUACUACCGUCACGAUCACUAGCGCAUGUCGAUAAAUGCCUUUUUACAUUCUUA
Leopardus geoffroyi (Geoffroy's cat) is the source of this 4492-nucleotide long non-coding RNA. RefSeq lists it as uncharacterized. Lineage: Eukaryota; Metazoa; Chordata; Mammalia; Carnivora; Felidae. The transcript has 2 exons. The record is from RefSeq and is a predicted model, not a curated record.